GCCCCGCGCGCACUGAAACCCGAGCCGCGGGAUCGAUAACCCGGGAGAAAUCCAUUUCUAGCUUCAGUCCUACGUGCGUGGAGUUGGCGGAAAGUCUCCCACUGGCGGGGAGAUGGGCAGUCAGGAGUCUUCAGCGGAGGCAAGCAGGUUGAAAACUAGCGUGAUGCAAUGCCAGUAAGUUCUAAGUCCCUCCCCUCAAGUACCGCGGGCUCGGGAGAAUCAGAGGGCAUCCUUAAAGAAAUAUCGAUACAGUCACACUCGGGUGGGCACAACCGCCCGCGACCGAGUGGCGGUGGAAGCUCUGUGAUCCGGGCAGGGGCCAGCCCGGUGGCCUCUGGACCCCCACCCUU
Molecule: long non-coding RNA, 350 nt
Organism: Dama dama (fallow deer)
Lineage: Eukaryota; Metazoa; Chordata; Mammalia; Artiodactyla; Cervidae
Exons: 3
Source: RefSeq, a predicted model, not a curated record